Molecule: ribosomal RNA, 631 nt
Filed under: uncultured Bacillus sp.
Lineage: Bacteria; Bacillati; Bacillota; Bacilli; Caryophanales; Bacillaceae
Description: bacterial SSU rRNA
Rfam family: Bacterial small subunit ribosomal RNA
Source: RNAcentral
UGCCUAAUACAUGCAAGUCGAGCGGACUUGAGGGAGCUUGCUCCCGAUGGUCAGCGGCGGACGGGUGAGUAACACGUGGGCAACCUGCCUGUAAGACUGGGAUAACUCCGGGAAACCGGGGCUAAUACCGGAUAAUUCAUUCCCUCACAUGAGGGAAUGCUGAAAGACGGCCUCUCGCUGUCACUUACAGAUGGGCCCGCGGCGCAUUAGCUAGUUGGUGAGGUAAUGGCUCACCAAGGCAACGAUGCGUAGCCGACCUGAGAGGGUGAUCGGCCACACUGGGACUGAGACACGGCCCAGACUCCUACGGGAGGCAGCAGUAGGGAAUCUUCCGCAAUGGACGAAAGUCUGACGGAGCAACGCCGCGUGAGCGAAGAAGGCCUUCGGGUCGUAAAGCUCUGUUGUCAGGGAAGAACAAGUAUCGGAGUAACUGCCGGUACCUUGACGGUACCUGACCAGAAAGUCACGGCUAACUACGUGCCAGCAGCCGCGGUAAUACGUAGGUGGCAAGCGUUGUCCGGAAUUAUUGGGCGUAAAGCGCGCGCAGGCGGUCCUUUAAGUCUGAUGUGAAAGCCCACGGCUCAACCGUGGAGGGUCAUUGGAAACUGGGGGACUUGAGUGCAGAAGAGGA